UUCUUAUCAAGAGCAGGCGGAGGGACUAGCCCUAUGAAGCCCGGCAACCGACUUAUACAUGAGCACGGUGCUAAAUCUUGCAGCUUAUAGCUGAUAGAUAAGAA
RNAcentral lists this non-coding RNA (104 nucleotides) under Bacillus sp. (in: firmicutes). RNAcentral describes it as "Bacillus sp. SAM-I sequence". It matches the Rfam family "SAM riboswitch aptamer (S box leader)". Rfam says of the family: The SAM riboswitch is found upstream of a number of genes which code for proteins involved in methionine or cysteine biosynthesis in Gram-positive bacteria. The SAM riboswitch acts at the level of transcription termination control. The record is from RNAcentral. Lineage: Bacteria; Bacillati; Bacillota; Bacilli; Caryophanales; Bacillaceae.